GACGAACGCUGGCGGCGGGCUUAACACAUGCAAGUCGAACGGAAAGGACCUGCUUGUGUGGGGUGCUCGAGUGGCGAAGGGGUGAGUAACGCGUGAGUACCCUGUCUUUGACUUUGGGAGCACUUCAGGAAACUGAGUCAAACAGCGUAUAGGAGCUCCUGCGGCAUGGUGGAGGUUGAAAUGUUUCGGAGGUUGGGGAUGGACUCGCGGCUUUUAAGCUUGUUGGUGGGGUAGUGGCUGACCAAGGCAUGGACGAGUAGCGGGCCGGAGAGGGUGACCGGCCACAUUGGGAGUGAGCUACGGCCCAGACUCCUAAGGGAGGCAGCAGUGGGGACUAUUGCACAAUGGGCGGAAGCCGGAUGCAGCAACGCCGCGUGCCGGAUGACGGCCUUCUGGUAGUAAACCGCAUUCGCCUGUGACGAAGUGUGAGUGACGGUAAUGUAUAAAUAAGCACCGGCUAACUACGUG
RNAcentral lists this ribosomal RNA (468 nucleotides) under uncultured bacterium. Its description in RNAcentral is "partial 16S ribosomal RNA". It matches the Rfam family "Bacterial small subunit ribosomal RNA", at positions 28 to 507 of the family's 1533-position model. The record is from RNAcentral.